Papaver somniferum (opium poppy) is the source of this 1138-nucleotide long non-coding RNA. RefSeq lists it as uncharacterized. The record is from RefSeq and is a predicted model, not a curated record. NCBI's taxonomy places the organism in Eukaryota, Viridiplantae, Streptophyta, Magnoliopsida, Ranunculales, Papaveraceae. The transcript is spliced from 5 exons.
UUUCUGAUCUUCGUCUUCUCUGUCGCUCCUCUUCUUUAUUUCCCAAUUCCUUUUUUUCUCUUUCUUUUUCGUACAGAAUCUUUGCUCUCUCUUCUUCAAGUUCCUUCAGCUGAGUUAGUGCUUCGAUUUCGGUUUAAACAAUUACUUCACCUGAUUUAGGGUUCUUCUUCAAAAUUCACAUGAUUGAACCAUUAAGUUUGGGCAGAAAGUUAUUCAUCUCUACAAGUCGUCAAUGAACGACAUCAAAGAGUUCAAAGACAAGAGAAAAGAAGCAGAGGUACAGGUGAAGGCUCAAAAUUGUACUGCAGAAUUCGGACUCAAAAUGAUGCCACUUUAUUCCGUUUCUUAUGCGGAAUUUGAUUAUAGUGGUGUUAGAUCAAUUAGCUAUUCUUAUCCGAACAAUCACAUUGAUCAAUUGCUUAAACUAGAGGAUGUUGGUGCAACUGUAAUUGAGAGAAUGACUUAACCAAAGGGUAUCAUAAUCUAAGCCAUCAUUGCAUUUUCAUCAUUUUCAACGUCUUCUUUUUAAUUAGAGUACCUGUAAUUUUUCCAUUGAUGGUGAGGAUUUGAUUGGUAUAGCUCUCUCGAACAUGACUGUAGCAAUGACAUUGGAGUGUGAAGUCUUAGUCCUCUAAGAAGUAACCCAAUGAAAAAUGGAAGGAGUUCCGGUAUACGUCAAGGUGUAAUGACAAUGUUGCUCCCUUUGUAGCCAUUCAUAGUAAUGCACUAAUGGAGAGAGGUUAUUUGUUACUGCAAGAAGUGAUGAGGAAAUGGACUUAUGCAGUUGUACAUCUGAAGGAGGAGCUAUCUUAUGGAUAUCUUGGUUUUGUGAAAUAAAUCCCUACGAGACUUUGGCUGCGGGGCACUUGGUUUUUGGAAGAUUUAGAGUGGUAAUCAGUGUUAGGCUAAUUUGAGAGGCAAAAUCUUCAAUUGUCAUUUUACUUUUUACUUCUCUAAUUUUUUUUCUCUGAUGUUUUCAUCUUCAAAUGUCGAUGCCAAAGUAUGUAAUAUGUUGAGAGCCACGAUUAGGUGUGAUGGUGCAGUUUUGUGUAGAGAUGACAUCUCAUGGGGUCCAACCUUCGUCAAUUAGGCCGAUGUACAAGCUUACAUUCAAUGUUAAGUUGUAUUCUUUAGAUGA